Pelobates cultripes (western spadefoot toad) is the source of this 165-nucleotide non-coding RNA. The record is from the annotation of a GenBank genome assembly. NCBI's taxonomy places the organism in Eukaryota, Metazoa, Chordata, Amphibia, Anura, Pelobatidae.
GCAGACACAUUCCAGCCAAUCAGCAGCAGACCCUCCCUCCCAGACCCUCCCACCUCCUGGACAGCUCACUAAGAAUGCAGCUUCACAAUGAAUGUAUGGAUGCUGUCCAGGAGGUGGGAGGGUCUGGGAGGGAGGGUCUGCUGCUGAUUGGCUGGAAUGUGUCUG